RNAcentral lists this ribosomal RNA (429 nucleotides) under Pseudomonadota bacterium. Its description in RNAcentral is "Proteobacteria bacterium partial 16S ribosomal RNA". It matches the Rfam family "Bacterial small subunit ribosomal RNA", at positions 355 to 776 of the family's 1533-position model. The record is from RNAcentral. Lineage: Bacteria; Pseudomonadati; Pseudomonadota.
UGGGGAAUAUUGGACAAUGGGCGAAAGCCUGAUCCAGCCAUGCCGCGUGUGUGAAGAAGGUCUUCGGAUUGUAAAGCUCUUUAAGUUGGGAGGAAGGGCAGUAAGCGAAUACCUUGCUGUUUUGACGUUACCGACAGAAUAAGCACCGGCUAACUCUGUGCCAGCAGCCGCGGUAAUACAGAGGGUGCAAGCGUUAAUCGGAAUUACUGGGCGUAAAGCGCGCGUAGGUGGUUCGUUAAGUUGAAUGUGAAAGCCCCGGGCUCAACCUGGGAACUGCAUCCAAAACUGGCGAGCUAGAGUAGGGCAGAGGGUGGUGGAAUUUCCUGUGUAGCGGUGAAAUGCGUAGAUAUAGGAAGGAACACCAGUGGCGAAGGCGACCACCUGGGCUCAUACUGACACUGAGGUGCGAAAGCGUGGGGAGCAAACAGG